CAAGUUAUUCUAAAGAUGGGAAUUUCAUUUACAUUGAAAUAUUUUAUUGUGCAAUUCAAUAUAGCUUGA
This 69-nucleotide transfer RNA is filed under the name Perisphaerus sp. 3 ZQW-2023b. RNAcentral's name for it is "tRNA-Val". The record is from RNAcentral. Lineage: Eukaryota; Metazoa; Arthropoda; Insecta; Blattodea; Blaberidae.